AUGGAUACCUGGCUUCUAUUCUGGGUGAUUCUUAGUGUCCUGAAAGCAGGACACACACAGCCUAAAGUCACCCAGACCCCGAGCCAUCACAGAGAUGGGACAGAGAGUAAUUUUAAGGUGUGAUCCCAUUUCUGGUCACUUAUACUUCUACUGGUACCAACAGAUCUUGGGGCAGAAAGUGGAGUUUUUGGUUUAUUUCUUUGAUGAUAAGAUCUCAGAGAAGUCUGAAAUAUUCGACAAUCGAUUCUCAGUUGAAAGACACAAUGGAUCAUAUAUCACACUGAAGAUCCAGUCCACAAAGCUGCAGGACUCCGCUGUGUACUUCUGUGCCAGCAGCUAA
Molecule: RNA transcript, 340 nt
Organism: Carlito syrichta (Philippine tarsier)
Lineage: Eukaryota; Metazoa; Chordata; Mammalia; Primates; Tarsiidae
Gene name: T-cell receptor beta chain V region CTL-L17-like
Exons: 2
Source: RefSeq, a predicted model, not a curated record